Nymphaea colorata (pocket water lily) is the source of this 928-nucleotide RNA transcript. It is a transcript of the gene named branchpoint-bridging protein-like, with no coding region annotated. The transcript is spliced from 2 exons. The record is from RefSeq and is a predicted model, not a curated record. Lineage: Eukaryota; Viridiplantae; Streptophyta; Magnoliopsida; Nymphaeales; Nymphaeaceae.
UAUUGGUUGAGCAUGCUAGAGCUUUGAAUUGAUUAUUUGGAACACAUGUUAGUGAUUUCGUUUUUGGGGAAAAGCUUGCGAUUAUGUUGGGAAGCGAAGAUUCAUAUUUUGGAUGAUCAUUUAAGCAUGAUAGAUUAAUUUUCGAAGCAUUAGGGGAGACAUGGUAGAGUUUGUGAGGUUGUGGGGAAGAUUUAGGACCGUUUUAGUGAGCCUGUAGCACGCGUUUUUGUGAACGGGUGCAUCUUGGAGUUAAAUAGGGAUAACGUACAUAAGUUGGAAGUAUCUUUGGGGUAGACGCCUUGAUUUAAGAAAAAGGGAAUUUUGAGAAAGGCGUUAGUGAUAGACGGAUUGAUGGCUUUGAGUUUUGGCAUCUAUUGGCACGGCUAGGAGUGGGAAGUGACCCUAUUGGAGAACUUGUGGGUCGACACUACCCGUCGACACCCUCUUGAGGCGAUGACGCGUGCCUCAAUGACCUUGUUUUGUUUUUGUUUGAAUUGUUGAGGUUUGUAGUAGGAAUCUUAUCUUGUGUUUGUGUCUGCAGGUUCACCGGGUACGUCCCGUCGACCUUGAGUUACCGGAUUCGAAGCUCGAGGCAUUUUGAAGAUUCUUGUGAACGCGCCACAGGUUUUGGUGUACCCGGGGCAGCAGGCUGAGCAGAUGGCUACACUCACGUCCUACUGGGGAGGUUUUGGGUUUUGUUUUGUUCUUGUAGUGCCGGCGCGUCGGGUUUUUGGUUUUACUGAUGCCUUGUUUUUGAUUAGGCAUCGAUGUUGUGAUUUUGGGGCAUUUUUGUCAAAUGUACAAUUGAAUUGAAAUGCUAUAUAAUGGAAAGCUUGCCCCAUUGUUUUGAAUUGUAUGGCUCAUUCCUUUUUGAACUAUUGUGUAGUCACACCUCGAUGUUGGAUGUUAGAAAAAAAAAUGUUUGAGU